UAAAAUUCAGACUUUUAGUAUGACAUAAUGACAAAAAAUUCUAUCCUGUGAUACUCCUUUUGGCAGGGCUAACUUUAGAUCACUGAAUAGAUUCCUACUCAAGCAGAGACUUCCAGAGGGAACGAAUGAAAUAAUUAGUGUGGAAUAGUUCUAGGGGAUAAACCUUAGGUCCUCGUAAUAUAGGAAAAUAUAAAAUAGUACUAGUGCAAGACUAAAAUUAACUUAAGCUGUAGACUUCAAAGUUGAGCAAAAUGUCAAUAAUAAUCUUGAUGAAAAUUCAAAACCAUAGAUCUGAUAACAAGUUUUCUUUCUAGAAAAGAGAGAAUUACAUAGCUAAAUCAAAAAGAUCAUGUAUAUCUAAUGAACUCAGUUCCUCAAUCAUCAGUAUGAGGAUUAAGUCUUCACUUCUUCUUUUCAGCACCGCCGGUGGCCCUGCAAAAGGCCAAGAACAUAAAAUGAACCCAGUUCCUCAAUCAUCAAAAUGAGUAUUAAGUCUUCACUUCUUCUUUUCAGCACCUCCGGUGGCCCUGCAAAAGGCAAAGAACAUAAUGAAAUAUUAGUCAAGGGUUUUGCAUACUCUUCUCCUGGAAUCGUAAUAACAUUAUGACAGAUUACUCUAGAAACCCAAUGAUCACAAGGCAUUACCUCAUCUUACGGAGAACGCUUGACAUCUCCUCUCUCUUCUUCUUUGCUCUCUUGUGAGUACCCAACUUCCUCUUGGCUACCUUCAAUGCACGCUU
Molecule: long non-coding RNA, 740 nt
Filed under: Nicotiana benthamiana
Lineage: Eukaryota; Viridiplantae; Streptophyta; Magnoliopsida; Solanales; Solanaceae
Description: long non-coding RNA (NBEN_LNC006629)
Source: RNAcentral